UACGAAGGGGGCUAGCGUUGCUCGGAAUGACUGGGCGUAAAGGGCGCGUAGGCGGAUGGCACAGUCAGAUGUGAAAUUCCCGGGCUUAACCUGGGGGCUGCAUUUGAUACGUGUGAUCUAGAGUGAGGAAGAGGGUCGUGGAAUUCCCAGUGUAGAGGUGAAAUUCGUAGAUAUUGGGAAGAACACCGGUGGCGAAGGCGGCGACCUGGUCCGAGACUGACGCUGAGGCGCGAAAGCGUGGGGAGCAAACAGG
This 253-nucleotide ribosomal RNA is filed under the name uncultured bacterium. RNAcentral describes it as "partial 16S ribosomal RNA". It matches the Rfam family "Bacterial small subunit ribosomal RNA", at positions 524 to 776 of the family's 1533-position model. The record is from RNAcentral.